RNAcentral lists this ribosomal RNA (351 nucleotides) under uncultured Bacillota bacterium. RNAcentral's name for it is "bacterial SSU rRNA". The record is from RNAcentral. Lineage: Bacteria; Bacillati; Bacillota.
GUAACACGUGAGCAACCUGCCUYUGAGAGAGGGAUAGUUUCUGGAAACGGAUGGUAAUACCUCAUAACAUAACGAAGCCGCAUGACUUUGUUAUCAAAGAUUUAUCAYUCAGAGAUGGGCUCGYGUCUGAUUAGAUAGUUGGUGAGGUWACGGCCCACCAAGUCGACGAUCAGUAGCCGGACUGAGAGGUUGAACGGCCACAUUGGGAYUGAGACACGGCCCAGACUCCUACGGGAGGCAGCAGUGGGGAAUAUUGCACAAUGGGGGAAACCCUGAUGCAGYGAUGCSGCGUGGAGGAAGAAGGUUUUCGGAUUGUAAACUCCUGUCUUAAAGGACGAUAAUGACGGUACU